Molecule: ribosomal RNA, 274 nt
Filed under: uncultured bacterium
Lineage: Bacteria
Description: partial 16S ribosomal RNA
Rfam family: Bacterial small subunit ribosomal RNA
Source: RNAcentral
AUACGGAGGGGGUUAGCGUUGUUCGGAAUUACUGGGCGUAAAGCGCACGUAGGCGGAUUGGAAAGUUGGGGGUGAAAUCCCAGGGCUCAACCCUGGAACUGCCUCCAAAACUAACAAUCUAGAGUUCGAGAGAGGUGAGUGGAAUUCCAAGUGUAGAGGUGAAAUUCGUAGAUAUUUGGAGGAACACCAGUGGCGAAGGCGGCUCACUGGCUCGAUACUGACGCUGAGGUGCGAAAGCGUGGGGAGCAAACAGGAUUAGAUACCCCUGUAGUCC